RNAcentral lists this long non-coding RNA (201 nucleotides) under Mytilus galloprovincialis (Mediterranean mussel). The record is from RNAcentral. Lineage: Eukaryota; Metazoa; Mollusca; Bivalvia; Mytilida; Mytilidae.
GGGGGUUCGCGGGUCUAAAUCAUUUAUAUAGGAUUUCUCUAUAUUUUUCUAUAAAUGAACAUUGUCUUAUAGUUAAUAGAAAAAUAAAAUAAAAAAGUGAGAUCACCGUUCAUUUGCGCUCACAAUCUGCCUUCGAAAGAAGCAUACAUUUUUGUAAAGGUGUUUUUUUUCUGUUGAAGUAAUAAGAGAAAUAAAGGUAAU